UCCGGUUUGACACCGGCAGUCUCCCUAGAGUGCCCGGCAUAACCCGCUGGUAACUAGGGACGAGGGUUGCGCUCGUUGCGGGACUUAACCCAACAUCUCACGACACGAGCUGACGACAGCCAUGCAGCACCUGUCACUGGUCCAGCCUAACUGAAAGGAGGCAUCUCUGCCUCCCCCGACCAGGAUGUCAAAGGGUGGUAAGGUUCUUCGCGUUGCUUCGAAUUAAACAACAUGCUCCACCGCUUGUGCGGGUCCCCGUCAAUUCCUUUGAGUUUUAAUCUUGCGACCGUACUCCCCAGGCGGUGUGUUUAACGAUUUCUCUCCGUCACCGAGGCCUUAAGACCCCAACAACUAACACACAUCGUUUACAGUGUGGACUAC
Molecule: unclassified non-coding RNA, 381 nt
Filed under: uncultured bacterium
Lineage: Bacteria
Description: contains 16S-23S intergenic spacer region
Source: RNAcentral